Molecule: ribosomal RNA, 424 nt
Filed under: uncultured bacterium
Lineage: Bacteria
Description: bacterial SSU rRNA
Rfam family: Bacterial small subunit ribosomal RNA
Source: RNAcentral
UUGGGAAUCUUGGACAAUGGGCGAAAGCCUGAUCCAGCCAUGCCGCGUGAGUGAUGAAGGCCUUAGGGUUGUAAAGCUCUUUUGCCAGGGAAGAUAAUGACUGUACCUGGAGAAUAAGCCCCGGCUAACUUCGUGCCAGCAGCCGCGGUAAUACGAAGGGGGCUAGCGUUGUUCGGAAUUACUGGGCGUAAAGCGUGCGCAGGCGGUUUCUCAAGUCAGGGGUGAAAGCCCGGAGCUCAACUCCGGAAUUGCCUUUGAAACUGUGAAGCUAGAGUGCGGGAGAGGUGAGUGGAAUUCCCAGUGUAGAGGUGAAAUUCGUAGAUAUUGGGAAGAACACCGGUGGCGAAGGCGGCUCACUGGCCCGUUUCUGACGCUCAUGCACGACAGCGUGGGGAUCAAACAGGAUUAGAUACCCCCGUAGUCC